Molecule: transfer RNA, 74 nt
Filed under: Planctomycetota bacterium
Lineage: Bacteria; Pseudomonadati; Planctomycetota
Description: tRNA-Ile
Rfam family: tRNA
About the family: Transfer RNA (tRNA) molecules are approximately 80 nucleotides in length.
Source: RNAcentral
AGAGGCAUAGCUCAAGGGCAGAGCCUCCGCUUGAUAAGCGGAAGACGGCGGUUCAACUCCGCCUGCCUCUACCA